RNAcentral lists this long non-coding RNA (1524 nucleotides) under Lepisosteus oculatus (spotted gar). RNAcentral's name for it is "lncRNA (ENSLOCG00000021921.1)". Lineage: Eukaryota; Metazoa; Chordata; Actinopteri; Semionotiformes; Lepisosteidae. The record is from RNAcentral.
CCGAGGAAGCACAAUGUUCUGCUUGUAGAACAGUGUAGACAAUAGUCUCUCAACCUGCCAGGCCUGUAAUUAUUACUUUUUUCAGUUGCUGUUUACCUGGUUUCUGAUUAAUCCUGCCGCAGCAGUGGGGAAAUCACCCGGGAGACCGCGUUUGUGUACCUGUGCUAUUGAAUUUCAAGGUGUUCUCGUGAAAGAACUUGCUCUGAGGUUUUUUUGGGGACAGUGGCCAAGGCUUGGAGGAGCCCAAACUAACCGUCCGAGACCGGAAACUUCAGCUGUAGUUUCUGCCUUCGGUAAUGAUGUUCCACUUGUCUCUCGUACUGCGUUGUGAGUAAACGCGAGCAGAAAGGUUUUUGGUUUGUUUACCUGUUCUGGGAGUAGCGUCUGAAAGAAAAUGAGCGAGCAACAAGCUUUCAAGCAGAGUCCCAAUUUAAAACCAGCCUGUCCACCCCUGCCUGUCAGCGGCUGUCCAGCAUCGCUCUUCAAGGCUGAGAAACGCAAAGGGCCUUUUAACAGAAGCAGAGAAGGGAAUGAUUUAGGUCGCGAGCGGAGGGCCUGCGGCGCGAAGAGGACAGCGGGAGGCGUCUCGCGGCCCGGCCUGGCCUCGGGGAGCUGCAGCUGGCGCUCCGCGGAUUCCUGUGCGAAAGGCGAGGGUGGCCAGGCGUCAGUGGAGAGGUGUCAGCCGAAGCCCAGGCAGGCAGCGGGAGUCCCGGUGGUGACCCUGGUGCCCUUCAGCAUGCGUGGCCCCAGGGCCUGGGCUGGGGGCCCCCUCUCCUUGCCGAAUCAGGUCAGCUCCAGGGAGGCGGGGCUCCACACCACAUGGUCCGGCCAGAGACUGCGCCUGCUCCAGAGCCAGGCUGACAUCCGGCUGUGCCACCAGCGCAAGGAGCUGACCAAGGUCUGUCCUCACCGAGUGGAGCGAUCUUACAGCAUGACAGGCACCAGAGUGGCAAUGCGGCCAAGGCGUCAGGAUAUCAGGGAGAACCAUCCCCGAUCACCACUUUCUGCAAGCAGAGAGGACGACGGCAGCCCCUGCGAGCGAUGGGAUCUCUCUUCACAGGCCUGGGAAUCCUCUGGUACCGGAGCCGGGAAGCGGAGCGCGGAUUAGGACACAUCUCCUCCUCCGAGCGAGCGGCCCCAUCUGUUUCCCCAGCCUCCGCCACCCCGUCUGGGUGCCCCCUGCCAAAAACCAGCAAAUGUGCCUCGAGUGGUUUUGUGUAUUGGUGACACGCCAAUAAUAAUAAAAACAAUUACCGGACUCCUGAGGUCUGAUUCCGAGAUAAUUGAGUAGCUCUGCUGUUCAAAGUGCUGACAGAGGACAGUUUUCAAAGUCGUGCCCUGAUAUCCUGUCAUCUCCUGGGGCCCUUCGUGGGAGCCCAAGACACCUAGAGAAAAGAAAACUUUAUUAUAAAUGAGCAAAAUCAGCUUAAUUGUCUUCAGUAAGUCAUAAGGAACAUUUGCAUUUAGUUUUACAAUUUAAAUUAUAAUGUGAAGGAAUUUUCAAUAAAUGCUUUUCAGGGUUUG